UGGGCCAGUGCUUAUCCUACUUGGAUAACUGUGGUAAUUCCAGAGCUAAUAUAUGCAACUCAUACCCCGACGACCACUCUCUUGUAGGGUGCGUUGAACGGGUGCUUUUAUUAGACCAAACCGCUGAGGGCGUGUUCUCCGUUUCCGCGGUGCACGCCUGACUCGUUUAAUGGUGACUCUGGAUAACCUUUGACAAGCGCACGUACUCCUCUUUUGAGCGGGACGGCGCUGCCACUUUCGAGUGUCUGCCUUAUCAGCUAUCAACCGUUCGUUAUGUGCGACCGAUGGCUUUGACGGGUAACGGGGAAUCAGGGUUCGAUUCCGGAGAGGCAGCCUGAGAGACGGCUACCACGUCCAAGGACGGCAGCAGGCGCGCAAAUUACCCAAUCCCAGCCUCUGGGGGAGGUAGUGACGAAAUCUAACGAUGCGGGCGCCCUUUCUAGGGCCCCGCAAUCGGAAUG
RNAcentral lists this ribosomal RNA (461 nucleotides) under Crangonyctidae gen. 1 sp. 1 AGC-2021a. Its description in RNAcentral is "SSU rRNA". It matches the Rfam family "Eukaryotic small subunit ribosomal RNA", at positions 122 to 516 of the family's 1831-position model. Lineage: Eukaryota; Metazoa; Arthropoda; Malacostraca; Amphipoda; Crangonyctidae. The record is from RNAcentral.